Molecule: RNA transcript, 1446 nt
Organism: Rhinopithecus roxellana (golden snub-nosed monkey)
Lineage: Eukaryota; Metazoa; Chordata; Mammalia; Primates; Cercopithecidae
Exons: 2
Source: RefSeq, a predicted model, not a curated record
AUGUGGGCGAGGGGUGUGGGUGAGAGUGACCUGCUGCCCCGACCCAGGUACCGUGUGCCCAGCUCUCAGAAUGACUGUGGCUCCACUGUCCCUGACAACCCCUUCGUCCGGACCGUCCCCCACACAGCUGUGUCUGGUCUCCAGCUCCCUCCUGCUGGCACCCAGAGACCCGGACCUGCAGGGCCUGCCUGGUUCCUGGAAGUCUUCCCAGUCUUCCCAGCCAGCCUGGGCCCUGGGGAGCCCUGGGCACAGCAGUGGCUGAGGGGAUGUCCUGCUCCAAUACCCGCACUGCUCUGGAGUUCGCCCUCUUUCCCAAGGAGAUGCUGCUGGGGAGCUGGUAUGGGUGGGGUCCUUCCCUUUACGGAUGGGGCAGAUGCCAGGACUCAGCCCAUCCUGAGGAGGACACGUGUCCGCGUGGAGGGUGCUCCGGCCCAGGCCUGGGAGUCGGUGCCCAGUCAGCAGCUCUGCCACCAUCCUGCUGGGAACUGGUGGGCCUCUAUUGGGUUAUAGGCAAGGCCUUUUCUCUGGCAUGGAAUUGUUAAUUUUCUGACACAUCUAGAUGUGAAACUUCUGAAAAUGUUGAAGUAGAGAAACAUUCACACACAAAAAGCAACAUAGUCAUGUGGGUCCAGAUGGCCUCAGUCCUGGAUAUUUGCACCCUUUGCUGUGUCUCCUCAGAAUAUCCUGUUCCCCCUCCUCCCACCUGGACCUCCCCUCGGCAGAUGCCUUCCCUCCCCGACCCCAGCCUGUCAGUGCAGGUUUGACACGCUGCACUGCACUGAGCACAGUGCAGGUUUGGGCCCUGACUUGGGCCUCGGGCUGCAGUGGGGUGGCUUUCAGAGCCUCUCAUGGCAGCAUCUAAGUGACCAGAGCUGGGAUGAGAGAGGGGAAGGGGCAGUGUGAGUGGCACUAUGGGGCGGGCCAGGCCUGUUCCUGAGCCAGCCCUGCCCUCUGCCCCCGGGCCCUGGGCUGUGUGCUAGGUAGGGAUGGUGAAGAAUGGGGGCGUGCCGGCCUGGCAGGAGUGGGAAGCAACACGCAGGGGUCCCGGGCCUCUCCAGCCUUGCCCUCAUGCUUACCCAAGCUCCCGGUGUGGUUAGUGGUUAGCACAGAGCUCACCCGCCUUGCCUGGCUCCCAGCUGAGGGCCUGUCCUCACUGGUGCUCCAGGGGAAGAAACGCCAGCCUUGCUUCUGUAUGGACUGCUGAUCUGGCCUGCUGUCCUGUUCAGUGAGCAUUGUCUUUGGAGCAGCAGGAGAAUAGGAUGCCUGUCACUCACAUGCCAGUUCCCAGCUGGCCAGCUGCUCAGGGCUCAGGCUGGGGCCUCCCAUUGACAUCCUCCCCCAACACUCCCCCUCCGGACCUCCGUUGCCCCUCCUGUUGGGUGAGGGUGUUGAGUGUGACUUGUGCUGAAAACCUGGUUCAUAUCUAAUAAAUAAUGGUGAUGAAAA